UGACUGACUUCUUUCAAUAUAAGGCAAUUUAAAACAAGUGCGAUAUAAAGAAAGGCAGUUUAAAACCUGCUAUAAUCACUCUGUAUAUACAAAGAUACAAUAAGCCUGAGAUGUAUAUAGAAAUACAACUGAACUGAUAUAUAUAAAAAUACAAUAAUUUUUGUGUAUGAAAAUACAAUAACUACUGUGGGAGUUUCUCUAACCGACAACCAUCACAUAAGAGCUAUAGUGAUGAUACAACGAUCGACCUCACGCUGCCAGAGCAUCCUAUUCCCGGCCAAAGGUAUAGGACCUGAACUGCCUAAUGGAUCCACUAGUCUAUUGCGAAAAGGAUUCNNNNNNNNNNNNNNNNNNNNNNNNNNNNNNNNNNNNNNNNNNNNNNNNNNNNNNNNNNNNNNNNNNNNNNNNNNNNNNNNNNNNNNNNNNNNNNNNNNNNNNNNNNNNNNNNNNNNNNNNNNNNNNNNNNNNNNNNNNNNNNNNNNNNNNNNNNNNNNNNNNNNNNNNNNNNNNNNNNNNNNNNNNNNNNNNNNNNNNNNNNNNNNNNNNNNNNNNNNNNNGAGCCUUAAAAUUGAAGUUAAAACGUUCAAUAAAGACUCUUGAACAACUUUAAAGACUUGCUUGGACUUACUUCUUAACUUCUAAGAUUGACUCUAACUUCACUUGACUUUGAUCCAAACUUUCCUCGAAUUGGAUUAUGAAUUCAAGGGUAAUGAUCUCAUGUUUAUGGAUGAGUUCGGGAGGUUUAAAUGUACCUUAGAGUGUUGAAAACAACUAUAAAACAUAGGUACAUUACCAAGGAACAUGUAUGAAAAAGUGGGGAAGGAAUGGGAAAACUUGGCGUUCUUGGUGCUCUGAGAGGCGCGGAACGCCAGACCUAAAAGUUCAGAAGGGCCUGGUUGGGGCACUGCUAGGGGCGCCGCCCCAAGGGCUGGACUUCAGAGUCCCUUUUGGGGCGCGCUGGCUGGCGCGACGCCCCAGCCCUUUUCCCCAAAAAUUUGACUUUUCUCCCUCAUUUUUCCAACUCUAAAUCACCUUAACUUCAAUGGAUCCAGCCCCAAACACUUAGAAUCAUAAACCCCUCAACAUACAAUAGAUUUCAACUCACAAACACAACCGGAAACAUGCCCAAAAUCAACAAGAACUUCAACACAAUCACAACCAACAACUUCAACAAAUACAACCAACGACUUCAACAAACACAAUCAAUCUUUUCUCAGAAUUAAAACGAGUUUGGCGUGUGGGGGAAAGAACCAAUCCAACACUAUGAUCUCACAUACCUAGUAGGGAUCACCCCCGACGAUAUCCACGACGAUCUUUGACGAAAUCUUGCUUGAUUUUAUGUUUCUCCUCUUCUUCUCCUCUUCACUCACAAACCCUUACUCUCACUCUUUUAAAAAGGAAAAAAAACUGAUCUAAAAAUCAGUCUAAACCCUUAAUAUAACCAAAACAAUUGAUUAGGGAAAAGACCAAAAUACCCUUACAAUUUCCGGACAGACUUCCCUGCCAACUGCCCAACUUCCAAAAGGCAUAACUCACUCAUACGAACUCGGAAUCGAGCAAACUCGGUGGCGUUGGAAAGAUCAUUCCACGAGCUUCGCAAACAUAACUGGAACUAUACCUAAAUAAUAUUGAGCUAGAAGUUAUGACUGUUCAAAGUUGGCCAAAAACUCACUUUUUUCCCAUACUUACCAAAUUUUCCAGAUUUUUGAAUUCCUUCCAAAAAUGAUUAAUUCCAAUUCUAAGCCUCUUCAUAGUUAUUUCAAAUUGCCAGAUGUUACAUGACAUAUGUUGCAACAUAUGUCUACUUUGUUGGAACAUAUGUGUUAUUAUGUUGUAGUUGUAACAAAUAAUUGGCAUAUGUUGGAACAUAUGCAAUAUUAUGUUGUAAGAUCUAUGUUGGAAUAGAUGCACAAUUAUGUUGUAAGAACUAACACAUAACUAACAUCUAUUGAAGCAGAUGCAAUAUUUUAUUGUAAGCAGUAACACAUAAUUGGCAUAUGUUGUAAUAAAUGCAUAAUUAUGUUUUAAAGAUGCAUCAGUUCAAAAUAAAUCACACAUUUUAUAUAAAUAACAUAACUUGAUUCAAAUGAACAUCAUCCUCAAAUAAAAAAGAACAUUCAUUAAAAUUCAACAAUACUUAUGAAGCAUUUCGAUUUGGGCAUGUAAUUUUUUUGUGACCAAAGUCCUUACAUACGGAACACUUGUUUUUUCUUGUUGGAAAUGAUUCACCAACUCCACGCCGUCUCUUAUAACUACUUCUUCCAGGUUUGCUUGGAUCAACAUAUGGAGGAGGUAUUUUUCUCUCUAAGAAAUCCAAAGGGACAUUCCAAGAAUCUUCGGGUAACACUGGGUGAAUUUUCUCACUAUAGGCAAUUAUGUAAUUUUUCACUGAAUAAUAUGGAGAUGAGUAAUCAUAAAUCUGCACCAUAUUGGGAUCGAAGCACUGGCAUGGCAUGUGGACAAGGAAUUUUGUCCAAGUCAAAAAUUCUACAAGUAUAGGUUCUUAUUUGUAGAUCCACCGUAGCAGCAUCACCAUGACCAGUGUCACUGAACUUGUAGUUUGCAAUUUGAUGAGCCAACAACUUGUUGCUCGAGUUGACAUACUUUGAUAUGUCUUUUUCAAUUGAAGGAACAAAUAUAUUUGAAGAGUUCACCAACUCCAUACGCCUCUGGAGAAAUAAAAGUGUAAAUCUCCUUUUUUUUCAUCAAAUAGAGUGACAAUGGGAAAUUCUCUUUUAACAUCAAACAUAGUAUUCACCGACUCCGCGAUGUUUGACGUCAUAAUGUUAUAUCUAAACAACAAUAAAAAAUUAAUCAAAAAUAUCAUAAAAUUACAAUAAACUCAAACAAGAUAGUAUAGACAAUAAUGUACCUAUUUCUCAGGCAAAAUGCCCUGCUCCAUCUGUGAAAUCUAAUACGUUCAAGAGUUUCAGCUGCCUUUGGUACCAAAUCUCUUAUUUGAUUGAAAUGGUCAUUGAACUCACGUCUAUUGUACGCCUUUGCUGCUUUAUAAAAAUGGGAUGCUACCUUUGAAUUGUGAGAGUUAUUUCGAAUAUUUUCCCCAAGGUGUCUCAUGAAACAACCAUAAUGAGAUGCGAGGUAGAUAGUCGAAACCAUCUUUUGAAUACUGGGAUGCAUAUCAUAAAUAAUGCCACUUGAAAUAUUUAUAUGAGUAUCAUCUACAUAGCUUCUCAUAUGUUCAAAAAAAUAUUUAUAUAAGGCAUCACAUUCCUUGUCCACAACACAAAAAGCCACUGAAAAUAUAUGAUUCCCAGCAUCUUGUGCCACCACCGAUAGCAAAACUCCUACAUACUUGCUCCUCAGGAAUGUCCCAUUAAUGACUAUUACUUUUCUCAUUUGUUAAAAACCAAUCAUCCAAGCGGCAUCUGAUACAAAUAAGUACUUGAACCUCUCAUUUUCAUUGAGUGACAAUGUCAUCUUGCUUCUUGGAUUUGCAAUUUCAAGCAUAUAACGGUACGCAUUAAGCACUGCAUACCCGUGGUCAUGUGUUCCCCUAACAGAAGACUUAGUAUGCUCCAUGCCCUUAUAAAUCUUCCAAUAACUUACCUUACAACCCAAUUUUGUGUGGGGUUGAUUCGACAUGUCUCUUGUGGAUGGGUCUUUACCAUUGGGAAACCUAUUUUCAAAGUAUUUACCUAUGACUUUUGCCGUGACAUGUGGAUUAUGGCUGAUGAGUCGGGGAUUUCGACUCAUUUAGGGAUUAAUAUUCAAGGAAUUAGUGUCCUAAAUGCCUAUUUUAUAAUCAUAACUGAUCUUAAAAUGUUACUAUAUGCAACAUUUGAGGCAAAAGAGUAAGGCAAGGACAUUACAAGGCAAAUAGGAGCGAAAAAAACUGAAAAAGUUGAAGGAAAGCUAACUUGGCACUCGUCAAAGCUACUUGGGGAGUCGUCGAGUGGACCUUCAGCUCACCCAAAGUUCCAGCAUACCAGCUCAUGGACAAGACCAACUUGGCGAGCAGACUAGUGGUUCGGCGAUGCACCGAAGAGAUCGGCGAUGCCUAUCUCGAUCGCCUAAUGUUACAGAAUGAGUUGGUAAAAAGACACACCAAGAAAGCGAGAAGAGAAGCGUUCGGCGUAUCGCUGACCAGUUCGGCGAACUUGACUCACUUCGCCAAAAGUUACAUAAUGAUUUGCUGAAAAAAGACACGCCAAGAAGGCGAGUAGAGGAGCACUCGAUGUAUCGCCGACUUACUUCGCCGAGUGGACUCCAUGCUGAAAUUUUGGGAACGUAUAAAUGCAAUUUUCAAAAGAAGAGAAGGAGUUCCUACAUUGUUCACUGCUGGGUUUUUAGUCUUUUACAUUCUAAAACAUUGUUUUUACAUUUUUGAGCAAAGAUUUAGAGAUUGUGAGAUUUUUCAGUUUAAUUUGAGCAUUUGGAGACUUGUGGAUCGUUGCCUAAUCUGCUAGAAAACUUCGUUGGUAAUAAUUUCUUGUUCUUUACUAUGUUUAGUUAAAACCCCAUUCUUGGGGGUGUGAUUAUGUAGUUGAAUGCCUUGAUUAGCUAAUGUGUGUAAUUAGUUACUGAAUUUAUUGUUGAUUUGAAGUGGGUUCAAUUAGUUAUUCGUGUUUUAAUCGAUGAAUUGAAGUUGCAAAUGCAAUACUAGUUUAGCACUCUAUGCUUGCUUGAGAAAGAAGUGUUAGAAUCGAAUUAUUAGUUGAUGAUUGUAUUGAUUGUGUUGUUACGGAUCUAGCUUGAGAAAGUGGGUUUGAAUGCAAUCUUACAAAUCUAGCUUGAAAAAUGGAUUGAUUAAGGUAAUGGGUUGUUUUAUUGUUGUCACGACCCAAUCCACCGGGUUGUGCAGGCACCUACUCUAACACCUAAGUAGGAGGACCCUUGAUCCCCAAACGAUUAAAAACAUGCGGAAGAUUAAGAAAACUAGAGAUGGAAAUUCAUGAGAUUUUUACAUAAUAAGGAGUUUAAACAAUCCAAAGUUAAAUUUGUAAAAUAAAUUACGCCCCAGGGAUCUAGUCUAAACAGGUACAAGAGCUUCUAAGAUUACAGGGUAUAAAAUACAGUAACUAGUGACACAACUCCCACCACAGGGAAGGAAAAGUGGAAGCUGUUGGAGAUUGUCUUCGUCUUCACCUAUGAAACAUCACUGUCCCUGCAACCAGACUAUGCCAAAUGGCAUAGCAAGAGUAGUAUCAGUACAAACAACACGUACUGGUAGGCAUCAUCGGUCAACCCAAUUCCCACCGCAUAAUAUAAAGAAAUCAACCAGCAGGAAACAUGCAAUAAGAAAGUACACCCCUCAAUCUUUAUCCUCAUGCCUUUACCAUUCCUGUAUACCUUAAACGUACUAGUACACUUGACUCUAACCCCCUACUCUAUCACUUUGCUCGCUCUGUUCUUAAUCAUAGCUUAACCCUUUUAUCUCAUAAAGGAGUUACCGAAUACAACCAUUACCAACUCGGCCAACCACUCACGACAUGCCCUCACUUCUUCUGCAUCACAAUUCAGCCCUUGACCACAUAGUAUACUCUAUCAAGGCUCGCUAACCGUUUCGAAUACGAAUCCCCUUCCAAAGGUAGGACCUAACUACUUUUUGCAUCAUGAACACUACCCCAUUUCUCAUUGUUUAAGAACACAGACAACCUCUUUAAAAAUAUCUGAUAGUAACACAUGGACCCUCGGUCUCCAUUUACCAAACCAUACAGAUUGGGCAUGAUCAUUCACAAUUAAUUCCAUUAAACGAGCUAUAAGCAGGUAACCACAACACAAUAAAAGCUCAUAUACCGAGAUACAAAAUCAGUCAUCAUUUUAGGAGCAAUAUACAAUUCCUUAAUAUCAAUGAUAGGUAGAUAUUAAUGUAGCAUUCACAAAUGGUCCUCUCAUGGAACUCACACCCAAACUGUUAGUGUGUCAGAACGUGACACCCGAUCAAAUAUAUAUGUGUCGGAACAUGACACCCAGUCCAAUGUAUGUGUCGGAACAUGACACCCGAUCUAAUAGAUGUGUCGGAACGUGACACUUGGUCCAGUCAGCAUAAACACAAUCACACCCAUAAUGAACAGUUCCAUAGUCACACAGUCAGGUAACAUGUUCAUGGCAUGUAAUUGUCCAUACUUAGUCAUUUCAUUAGGUUCGAUUCAUCUUUCUCUAUUCACAUACAUACAUGCAUACAAUGGAGCAACUAACAAGCAUAUAUAACAGAAAUAUGAAGUCAAACCAUCACCUACCCCUAGUUCACAGGACGAGGCUUCCCCUCAUGGUACACAUCAUAUUUAACAACUAGAAGUACAUGUACAACCAUCCCUUUUUCCAUGCCCGAAGGUCUAAACAUGAAUUCUACCAUCAAUUAGCAAUAUAUUACGCAUUGAGCAAGAAUUUACGACUACUCAAGUAAGUAAACCUAGCCUACCUGGGCGUCAAGCAGCUGCAGAGGGAUUGUAGCUCUAAUCCUGGCUUCCGAACAAUGAUACGGUGGAUUUUGGCCUGGAAUCAGCGAGUUGUCGUCAACCUUGCACUAGAAAUCUAUUUAUUUUUCCUUUCGAAGCCUAGACCAGCUUUUUGGGGAUUUAUCGGUGACCCUCGCCUCUUUUUGGCACUUAGGGAAAAAUGAGGAAAUAAGACUUCGCGUCAUUAAGUUCUUCCCUCCGACCAUCCCGCUCAGGCGCUCCCAUCCUGCUGGAGAGCCGUCGUCGUAGCGGCAUCAUCCCGCUCUGGCAGGACAGUGGGGUUUAGUUACUCACGACGUUUUACCCUUAAUAGGUAACGAUGGUUCAGGUCGUUACAAUUGUGUUGUGCCUGUUGAGGUUCAAAAGGACUCAUUUGAUUCGCAAUAGUUGAUUGAGAAAUGGCUAUUGCACCCAAAACCUAGCCUACCCACCGAGAUUCAACAUCUUUGAGUAACUAGUAAUCACCCAUUACACGAAAUUAGCAUUCAAUUUAUCACACUCUAAAAAAACCUUCUCUACUUGUUUACUUCCCAGUUUAGUAGUCAUAAUUUGGUUACUUGAAAUCCCCUCCCCACCCCCCCCAUUUGGCAUUAAUUGCCAAAACUUUGUGAUUUACUUUAAAGUUGCAAAGCUUCUACCUCUACAAACAAUUAGAACACAAUUUUACUUCUUAAUCAAAUUCUCUAUUGUAUCACUCCCUGUGGGAUUGGGUUCAUACUUGUUAGCGACCGCCUACACUUAGAAUUGGAUGAAGUGUAGUUAAGCGUUAUCAAUGGAUCGUAAGAUGUUAUGAACCACAUGUAUGGUACUUUUCAUAGAUUCUAAUGACAAACUUGUCGCUACUUGUAAAUUUCACAGCCCUCAAACACCACUUGCACUUCGGGUAUGAACAUUUAAAUGAAUACACAUAACGAGAAUUGAUCACCUUUGUCAGUCUAAAAUCUUUAUUUAAGAAAGCGAUUUUCAAUGAAUUUGCUAGUUCUUCCUUGUUCUUGAAUGUCAUUCCCUUAUAAAAAUCAGUUUUAUCAUCUUGAACAUUAUUCACACGUGAUGAUUGAGAAGAAGAAGGAUUGUUGCUCCCAAUAAUAGGUUUAGGGAAAUUGUUACCCCCAAGGUCCAACACUUCAUCUCCUUCAAUUUCAUCAUGGUGGUUAUUCAUAUCCACGACAUCAAAUUCAUCAUUUAACAUAUCUUGUUGAUUUUCUUCUGGCUUAUGAUUCUCCUCGAUAGAUUUUUCAACCACAUAGUCUCUUAACAUGGGCCUCACUGCUCCUCCCAAAUAAACAAGCAAACUAGGCUGAUCGGUUAUUUUAAAAGGUAAGACCUUCUCAUUAUGAAAUAACCUGGGAAUGUAACUAAUGACAAAAUCUUUCCGUUGACAAUUAAGUCCACAACUAUGGAUGAUUAAAUUCACAAAAUCAUCAUACAAAAUAUUUUUUUCGACAGUCAUUCCUACCGACUGUUUCAUACCAUCCUUCCAAUGCCAAAUAUAUCAAUUUUUAUUUUCAAUUUAUUCACUACAACAAUCAACCCCUAUGAAUAGUCCCUCCAUUUAUUGUACCUGAAUAAAUUAAUUCAAAAACAAUUAGUACUAAUGAUAGAAUAUGACUUCAUCAUUUGUUGCAACAUAUGAGUCUUAUGUGGCAACAUGUGACUAUUCUGUUGCGACAAAGAAGUCAUAUGUUAUCACAUAUGUCUAUUAUGUUACGAAAGACAAAUCACAUGUUGGAAGAGGUGCAAGUCAUCUGGUGCAACAUAUGACUAUUUUGUUGAAACAUGUAAGUCAUAUGUUCCAACAUAUGACCAUUUUGUUGCAACAUGUAAAUCAUAUGUUGCUACGUAUAGGUAUUCUAUUGCGACAAAUAAAUCACAUGUUGGAAGAGGUGCAAGUCAUCUGGUUCAAUAUAUGACUAUUAUGUUGAAACAUGUAAGUCAUUAAUUCCAACAUAUGACCAUUUUGUUGCGACAUAAAAGUCAUAUGUUUCUAUAUAUGUCUAUUAUGUUUCGAAAGAUAAAUAACAUGUUGGAAGAGGUGCAGGUCAUCUAAUGCAACAUAUGACUAUUUUGUUGGAACAUGUAAGUCAUAUGUUCUAACAUAUGACCAUUAUGUUGCGACAUAAAAGUCAUAUGUUGCUACAUAUAACUGUUCCAUUGGGACACAUAAAUCACAUAUUGAAAGAGGUGCAAGUCAUCUAGUGUAACAUAUGACAAUUCUAUUGGAACAUGUGAGUCAUAUGUUCCAACAUAUGUCCAUUUUGUUGCGAGAUAAAAGUCACAUAUUAGUACAUAUAACUCUUAUGUUGUAACCCAUAAAUCACAUGUGUAAGUUAUAUGUUGCAACAUAUGAUUUAUCAAUCGCAACAAAAUAGUCAUAUGUUGCAACAUAUAACCUUUUUGUUGCAACAUAAUCUGUUCCAAUAUCUGACUUAUUCAACACGAGUCAACAGAUAUAACCAUCUUUUGGAAACGCGAAUGCAAAUUAUUGAAAAAAUUACAGUUAUGCUCAGAUGAUAAUGAAUGAUUCAAAGAACUAUUAAUUUUACUUACCAAACAAUGGUGUGUGAACACAAUCACUUAUGAAGUAAUGUCAAUUGAUAUAGAACGAGAUUUGGUCAACUGAUUAGUUAAAUCUGAUUCAAAAAGAAGAUAAGAAGAAGAAGCACAAGGAAUAGCAGUUAAGAGAAACAAUGUACGAACAAGAAGAAAAAGAAAAAGAUGACGAGAACAGGAAGAAAGCAAGCAAGAACGAACAAGAAGAAAAAGAAAAAGAGAGGAAUCCGGCUGGGAGGCGGGGAGAUUUGCAUCUUUUAUUUCCCUUUUUGGUGUGCUGACUUCCCUCCAUUUUUUAUUUCCACCAUAUUUGGUUAAAUUAGGUUUUAGUCUUUUACCUUUUUACCCCUCAUUUAAUACAAUGGACCAAAAUGUCAACUUAAAAACUUGAGGGCAACUCCCACAAAUGCCUCACAAAUCCUUAAUCCUUAAUUACAUAAUUGUCACCUACACUCAAUUAUUAUAACUUAUGUCACCGUCAUUUAAUUUUGACACCUUAAUGUCACCCUUAAUUCAAAAUCCUGACUAAUUUAUUGGGUUUUUGACUAAGUCAACAGCCCUCCAAAUUUUGGAAAUAUCUUUUUUAAUAAGCUAGUUUUAAAUAUAUAUAUAUACCAUAAAGUAAUUAGUUUCAAUUAUAUACAAUAAAUUGUUCAAGAAAUCAUAUAAUUCGAAUCAUAAAAAUGGUAAAUUCAAAUGUGGAUUUGAUAACCCUAACUAUGGAAAUAACUUCAUGAAAAUUUAGAAGUUUUAGACAUGAGAAUGAAAGGAAAUAUUCAUUAAAGUCCUACAUACCUUAAAUUUGAAGUUUAAGAAAAAUAAUCGUAAUUUAAAUCUCUAGAAUCCUUGUAGAUCUUGUUCUUUGAAGUGUUGGGGAAAAAAAGAGAAAAAUUUAUUGUAACCUAUAAAAUCUAAUUAAUUAUUACUUUUGGGAGAUGUUAAUAGAUGUGGGUUGAGAUUAUGAGAUGAGGAAAGGAUGAAAACACUCAUUCUAAAAUGUGGAAAGAAUAGAAAACUAAAAGAAUUUCAUAGAACAUACGCGAUCGCGCACCUGGAGACUAGGACUCGUGGUUGUUCCCUCAACCUUGGCAAUAAGCACUAGUCCUACCGCACAGUCACGUCGUUGGCGUCCUUCCGCGCAAGGGGUCAUGCAGAUUGUAUAGUAUCUAGUCAAAUGUGAAUAAUUUUUAGCACAGAAUUUGAAUCGACAAACUGUAAAAGGAGUUGGAAAGAAGACUUCAAGAUAUUUCAUUUGGUUGGUUUUAGGCCAUAAAAUUUUUCAUAUUGUAGAAGUCUCUUAUGACCUUAAUCCACAUUAAAUACACUUCUCACACUUAAGAACUAAUCUAAGCAAAUAUAUAUACAAUUAGAAAUCAUCAAAUUCGAGCCUAUAUGCAUAUGGAAUAGUUUGGAUUUUUGCUUAGAAGUUGCGGGAUGUUACACUAUUCAAUCUCGAUCAACUCAAAAUCACCUAUAAAAGUCCCACAUUUUAGAUAUUAAAUCAUUUUGAUGUUUCGAGUCUUUUAAUAUAUAAUUCUCUCGAAGCGAUUCAUGUUUAUAGUACGUAAUUUUAUUUUUUAUUUUUACAAAAGAAGAGGGAUACGAAGAAGAAGAUGCAAAUGAAGAAUGACAAAAAAGGAGGAGAAGGAGAAGAAGAAGACAGAAGUGUCAAAUGAUCACUUAUUGUAAUAAGUGGCUUAUUUUUUCAAGUGGGUUAGUUUUGCAAAAAAAUUAACCUAUUGGACAUUUUGUCUAUUUUUUCAUUUAUUAAUCCCUAUUUGUCUAUCUACUUGAUAUAAGAGCCCGUGUCAGGCCCAAUAUAUGUUACUCUUUUUGUCCAAUUUAUGGAGGAAAAAAAGUUCAUAAAUAAUUUUUACAUUAGUUAGUCUUGAUAUUUUAUUCCUAUAAAAAUAAUCUAUCAAAAAUUACAUUUAUUAAUUUCAUAAAAAUUAUUUGAACAAAUUGUCCUUCAAAGUUGUAAACAAUUAGCUAAUGUUUUGGCUUUUCUCUGCAUUUCCAUUCUCUUGUCUAUUUUUUACUUCCCGCAAUUGGUGGUUUCAUUGAAGAUGCUCUGUCAUCUCUCAUGUCUACCUCGCAAGGAUUUGUCCAAGUGAUCAUAUGCUUGUUACCAUGCAACUAAGCAAUCAGACCGUUCAUGAUGUCGCCUCCUCCCAUUUAAACUACUCUCUCAAAAAUGAUUUAGCACUUUCAUUUAUUUUUUUGUAUCACUAAGUUCAAUUUCUCUUUGGUAAGGAUCUAUUGAAGUCGAAAUUCUUAACUCUCAGCCUCAUAAGUUUUGCUAAACAUGAGAUAACAUCCUCCUGGUUCUCAUUUAUAUCUUCAAUCACGGUGAAUUUGUGAUAGAAUAAUGUAGCAUGACAUUUUUUCUUUUUGAUUCUAUACUUAAGGGGAAGCUUAGGUUGUGAAUGGAUAGCCUUUCAAUGUUAAGAGAAUUAGAGUUGCUCUCAGCUUUUUCUCUUGUGAAUGAUCAUUGUGUUUUUUGAUUUUGUGGGUGUACAAGUCAAAUCGAACUGAUGAAACAAGUAUAAUUAUCGAAAAAAAUUAACUUGUUAUUUGAUUUGAUUGGUAUGCUGAAAAAAUAAACCCAAUGACUCAUAGUUUGGUUUGGUGUUAACAUAAAAAAACUCAGAUGGAGUCCAUCUAACCGACAUAAUAUAAACAUAAUUUUAGUUUUUUAUACAUUAAAAAAUAUUAAUUACAAUCUACUUUGUUAAUAUAUUUUAAAUUAGUUUAUCGUAUUCAAUGUUUAGAUAUAUUAUUUUAAAAUUAGUUUUGUAAAUAUUUAUCGUAUUCAAUGUUUAGAUAGCGAAAGUUAACGAUUACUUUGUAAAUAUUUUGUUUUGUAUUUUAUUUGAUUGUAACCUUAAUCUUAUAAAUUUAGCAUAUUGGAUGUUGAUAUUUCAAUGAAAGUAUUUUGUACUCAAGUGAAUUUUACAAACAUUUUGUAAAUUUCUUUUUAGUUUACGUUUUUAAGUUCUACCAUAUCACAUAAUAAGUGAAAAUAUAUUUGAUCUCUUUCUCAAUCAUUAUGUAAUCGUAAGGAAACCGAAAAAAUGACUUUACAUUGGUUUGAUUUGGUACAUAGAUUUAAAUAAAUUGUCAUAAUUGAUUUAUUGGUAAGUUGUAUUAUCUCACAGUGACUAGGCUUGACAUUUCUUUUCUUGCAAGUGUUGUAAGUUAGUUUAUGGAUUCUCCAGGUGGUAUUCAUUGGGAUGCAAUUGCUUGCAUUCUACGAUAUAUAAAGUCAAUUCCAUACAAAGAACUACUCUUAUAGGAUCGAGGUCAUGAGCAGAUCAUUGGAUAUACAUAUGUCGAUUGGAAAGGUGAUCCUUUUGAUAGACAUUACUCAUCUGAAUAUUGUGUUUUUACUAGGCAGUACUUUGGUGUCCAGGAAGAGAAAGAAACAAAACAUAGUUGCUCGAUCUAGUGCAGAAGCAGAAUAUCGAGCAAUGGUCAUAGCAACUUGCAAGCUAGUUUGGAUCAAACAACUGCUCGGUCCUUAUAUUAGUUACAUCAAUAACAAGCCCAAUACAUAUGACUUGUAUGCGCCACCUUGAGGGAGAGUGUUAGAAUAGUCCUACAUGGAAAAGGAUUAUAUUUAGCGUCUAUAAAUAAGGCUCACUCUAAUAAUAUAGUCAACACGAUGCAAUAAUACUUCUCUCCUUUAUUUCUCACAAAGAUUAAUGACUAGAAAUACUGACUAGAAACAGACCGAUGCCUAAAUAUAUAUCUGUUGCAACUCAGACAGACGCCAAAAGUAAAAUACUGUACAUUUUUCACAAGAUAAGGUGCAACACGCAAGAAAACCAUUCUUAACAGUCCUACAUGGAAAAGGAUUAUAUGUAGCAAAUAGGGCUCAGUGUAAUAAAACAAAAGGUACAACAGAAAACAGUGUCCCAACUCCAGUGCGCACUCUGCAAAAAGAAAUGAACCUGCAAAAAUAUACACUAAAAUCAGAAUUCGAGUCUGAAGUAUAUUGGAAUUAUACAUCAGUCAUCCUAAAUCCAUAUAAUUUACAUUCUUUUUACUAUGUGUUAAAAGGCAUUGAAAACUUUACAGAAAACUGAAAAGACUCAUAACCAUAUUGAAUUACUUCAGAGAAUGAAUUCAGAUAUAGAUAUCUCAUAAAUGAAAGAAUAAUUGCAGCAGGAAGACACAACACUUAGCAGGAAGAGCACAACACUUGUUACUCAAGACAGACUGACUACAUAAGUGGUGAAGUCAAGAUCACUGCAGAACACAAAGAUUCCACAAUUUAUAUUCAUAUGGACAUGAUCACUGAUUCAAGGUUGUCAUGGAAAACGUGUAAAACUUUAUCAAACAACCAAAUAAGAGUGAAAUUUACAAUAUCUGAACUGGAAAGUGACAUUAGACAAAGAAAAUGAAAUAAAAACCAGUGAACAUGCUCCCAGACCUCGUCAAAGAAGAUAUGCAUCAAACUAAAGAAUUGUAACAACCUGACCCCUGAUCUUGAGCAUUUUAUGGUUGAAAUUGCGUUUUGAAGCUUUGAAUAAGUUUGUAUAACCAUUUGGGACUUGUUGGGAUGGUCGGGUUGAAAACCCGAGAGCUCAGGGAUGUUUUCACACUAAUUCAAUUGAGUAUUACUGAAAAGUCUAGUACUGGUGCAACCACAAAAGUAGAAGACUCUCCCCAAAUGCAGAGAGUCGACUGCAAAUGUGAAUUAUGGCUCGCAAAUGCGAUGGGGGAAAGAUUGUCCAAGUCCAUAUAAGGAGACCACCCGUCCAUUCCCCAACCAAUGUGGGACUUUUACCCACUCUGAUAGAUAUCAACCCAUACCAUUGACAUAAGUGGAUGAUCAUAUUCAAUUUUGGUUGGAUUUUAACCAUAGAAUCAUGAGAAUCAAGUGUCUAAAUUGGAGAUUUUUUACCAAGUUCCCAAUAUAGUAAACUAGGAAUUUGAC
Molecule: long non-coding RNA, 13911 nt
Filed under: Solanum tuberosum (potato)
Lineage: Eukaryota; Viridiplantae; Streptophyta; Magnoliopsida; Solanales; Solanaceae
Description: long non-coding RNA (STUB_LNC001406)
Source: RNAcentral